Molecule: ribosomal RNA, 252 nt
Filed under: uncultured bacterium
Lineage: Bacteria
Description: partial 16S ribosomal RNA
Rfam family: Bacterial small subunit ribosomal RNA
Source: RNAcentral
UACGGAGGGUGCGAGCGUUGUCCGGAAUCACUGGGCGUAAAGGCGCGUAGGCGGCCUGAUAAGUAGGGGGUGAAAUCCUGCGGCUUAACCGCAGGGCUGCCUUCUAAACUGUCAGGCUGGAGCACAGUAGAGGCAGGUGGAAUUCCCGGUGUAGCGGUGGAAUGCGUAGAUAUCGAGAGGAACACCUGCGGCGAAGGCGGGUUGCUGGGCUGACACUGACGCUGAGGCGCGAAAGCUAGGGGAGCGAACGGG